GGAUUAGCUAGUAGGUGAGGUAAUGGCUCACCUAGGCGACGAUCCCUAGCUGUUCUGAGAGGAUGAUCAGCCACACUGGAACUGAGACACGGUCCAGACUCCUACGGGAGGCAGCAGUGGGGAAUAUUGCACAAUGGGGGAAACCCUGAUGCAGCCAUGCCGCGUGUGUGAAGAAGGCCCUAGGGUUGUAAAGCACUUUCAGUCAGGAGGAAAGGUUGUAGUUUAAUAAACUAUAGCUGUGACGUUACUGACAGAAGAAGGACCGGCUAACUCCGUGCCAUNAGCCGCGGUAAUACGGAGGGUCCGAGCGUUAAU
This 315-nucleotide ribosomal RNA is filed under the name bacterium 22B11. Its description in RNAcentral is "bacterial SSU rRNA". It matches the Rfam family "Bacterial small subunit ribosomal RNA", at positions 238 to 543 of the family's 1533-position model. The record is from RNAcentral.